RNAcentral lists this transfer RNA (72 nucleotides) under Capra hircus (goat). It matches the Rfam family "tRNA". Rfam says of the family: Transfer RNA (tRNA) molecules are approximately 80 nucleotides in length. Their secondary structure includes four short double-helical elements and three loops (D, anti-codon, and T loops). Lineage: Eukaryota; Metazoa; Chordata; Mammalia; Artiodactyla; Bovidae. RNAcentral also lists the same sequence under 1 other name. The record is from Rfam by way of RNAcentral.
UCCCUUCUAGCUUAAUCGCUAAAGUAUCUGCUUGCAAUGCAGGAGACCUGGGUUCCAUCCCUGGGUUGGGAA